RNAcentral lists this ribosomal RNA (513 nucleotides) under uncultured bacterium. RNAcentral's name for it is "partial 16S ribosomal RNA". It matches the Rfam family "Bacterial small subunit ribosomal RNA", at positions 28 to 523 of the family's 1533-position model. The record is from RNAcentral.
GACGAACGCUGGCGGCGUGCCUAAUACAUGCAAGUUGAGCGCUGAAGGCUGGUACUUGUACCGACUGGAUGAGCAGCGAACGGGUGAGUAACGCGUGGGGAAUCUGCCUUUGAGCGAGGGACAACAUUUGGAAACGAAUGCUAAUACCGCAUAACAACUUUAAACACAAGUUUUAAGUUUGAAAGAUGCAAUUGCAUCACUCAAAGAUGAUCCCGCGUUGUAUUAGCUAGUUGGUGAGGUAAAGGCUCACCAAGGCGAUGAUACAUAGCCGACCUGGGAGGGUGAUCGGCCACAUUGGGACUGAGACACGGCCCAAACUCCUACGGGAGGCAGCAGUAGUCUCGCUUCGGCAAUGGACGAAAGUCUGCCCGAGCAACGACCCGCGAGUGAAGAAUGGUGUCGGAUCGUACAACUCUGUUGGUAGAGAAGAACGUUGGUGAGAGUGGAAAGCUCAUCAAGUGACGGUAACUACCCAGAAAGGGACGGCUAACUACGUGCCAGCCGCCGCCGUAA